RNAcentral lists this ribosomal RNA (253 nucleotides) under uncultured bacterium. Its description in RNAcentral is "partial 16S ribosomal RNA". It matches the Rfam family "Bacterial small subunit ribosomal RNA", at positions 524 to 776 of the family's 1533-position model. The record is from RNAcentral.
UACGGGGGGGGCAAGCGUUGUUCGGAAUUACUGGGCGUAAAGGGCGCGUAGGCGGUUUGCUAAGUUGAAUGUGAAAACUCUGGGCUUGACCCAGAGCCUGCAUUCAAUACUGGCAGGCUAGAGUUCUGGAGGGGAUAGCGGAAUUCCUGGUGUAGCGGUGAAAUGCGUAGAUAUCAGGAGGAACACCGGUGGCGAAGGCGGCUAUCUGGACAGAGUCUGACGCUGAGGCGCGAAAGCUAGGGGAGCAAACAGG